Molecule: ribosomal RNA, 169 nt
Filed under: uncultured Alcaligenes sp.
Lineage: Bacteria; Pseudomonadati; Pseudomonadota; Betaproteobacteria; Burkholderiales; Alcaligenaceae
Description: partial 16S ribosomal RNA
Rfam family: Bacterial small subunit ribosomal RNA
Source: RNAcentral
GCUAUUAUUCGGGGCGCACUCUGAUCAGCCAUGUCGCGUGUAUGAUGAAGGCCUUCGGGUUGUAAAGUACUUUUGGCAGAGAAAAAAAGGGAUCCCCUAAUACGGGAUACUGCUGACGGUAUCUGCAGAAUAAGCACCGGCUAACUACGUGCCAGCAGCCGCUAUAAUA